AGAGCCCUACUCUGUAGCAGGACGCGCGAAGCGACGAGAGUCGAACGCCACACACCGAGAGCGUUCAUCGCUGGCUGCGGAAUCCAAAAUAACUAAUCGCGGUCUUGAACGUA
Molecule: non-coding RNA, 113 nt
Filed under: uncultured Mamiellales
Lineage: Eukaryota; Viridiplantae; Chlorophyta; Mamiellophyceae; Mamiellales
Source: RNAcentral